Molecule: long non-coding RNA, 1326 nt
Filed under: Vulpes vulpes (red fox)
Lineage: Eukaryota; Metazoa; Chordata; Mammalia; Carnivora; Canidae
Description: lncRNA (ENSVVUG00000011070.1)
Source: RNAcentral
UUUUAUUUAUUUAUUUGAUAGAAAGAGAAAGCACAAGCACAGGGAGUGGCAAGCAGAGGGAAAGGGAGAAGUAGGAUCCCCAAGGAUCAGGGAGGGGCAUGUGGGACUCAGUCCUAAAAUCCUGGGAUCAUGACCUGAGCUGAAGGAAGAUGCUUAAACCAACUGAGCCAUGCAGGCGCCCCUGUUAAAUCUUUAUUUUAAUUUUCUUUAUAUUAUUACUUUUAUGAAGUACAUAUUAAUUGUGAAAUACAUAUUAAUUUAGAUUUACUUAUGCAUUUACCUUUCCCAUUUCUCCUCAGCAUAUGAGGUCCUGACUUGCCUAUUUUGCUCUUUUCUUUAAUGUUGACAGCACUGUAUUAAGACACAAAAAAAAAAGAGAACAAAGAGUUGAAGAGGCGAUGGGAUUCAAGAGAGCGCUAUUAAUAAUGAAAUUUUUCUUUGCCAGGCCCUGGAAUCUUAAUUUUGCCCCCUUAAUCCAGCAAGUCUGUUAAAAACUCUUCUUAGCUUCUUGGAGUUUCUCACGCAGUCUUCUUUUCACUAUGGCAACAGAUAACGGGUUUCUAGUUGGAAGUUACCCUGAAGGAUAAGCUAAUUUCUCUGGGCCUUUCUUCCCUGAUGGACCUUGGACUCACAAGUCCUCAUGAUGUUGGUCGACUGCUAACGCCUUCAAAGAGAGUCUUUAAGAAGAUACUUUAAAGAUUGUGUCCAGCUUGUCCAGUUGUUAAAUGAGAGAAGACUGGUUUGAGUCAUCUACUCCGUCAUUGCCAGAAAUAAAACCAUAAAGAAACUGUCAUGCACUCCCCUGAGUAAUGGUUAUCUGAUGUUGAAGAAAACUGACACGUCUUAGCACCCUGUAAUGAUACUUACUAAGACUUGGCCCUGCAUUUGUUUAUUUUACCUACCUUGCUUUGCAUGCCUAUAAAGAAGUCAUUGUGACCACUGAAGCAUUAAUGGCCCACAGCACCAAGCAUGCUUGCACCAGGUUUGGAAAUGCCCAUCUUAACCACCUUCAUUCUUAUGAAGACUGUAUCCUUUUCCAUUCAGUUAUAUUAAAUGUAUGCUCCCCCCCCCCAAAAAAAAAACACUUAAAAAGAAAGCCAGAGAGGCAGUAUGUGGGCUUUUCCUGUUAUGACCCUAUUUCCAAAGGAUGGGUGGCUUUUUUCGUUUAUAGAUGGCCUUUUUAAAUUUUACAUGCCAGAGGAAUUUAACUGACCAUGGAUUUACUUGCAUAGCAAGCCUGACAUAGAUCAUGGAACACAUAAUGGUCUUCUUUUUUGAUGAUGGUCCCAUAUUUUUACAAAGAAAAAUGCAAAAACUAGACUACUC